AGCCUGAGGAAAAAAUCUUAGGUUUUACCUGCCCAAUGUGCUGUAUAUGAAUGGCCGCGGUACUUUGACCGUGCUAAGGUAGCGUAAUCAUUUGUCUUUUAAAUGGGGUCAGGUAUGAAUGGAAUAACGUAGUUUAGCUGUCUCCACACUAUUUUCUUGAAAUUACUAUAUAGGUGAAAAAGCCUAUAAAUAGAAAAAAGACGAGAAGACCCUUAGAGUUUUUAUUAUUCUUUUAGGACAAAAUUUUUGUUGGGGCAACAUAGGAACAAACUUCCAAAAGUGAUAGAUCGACUUUUGUAAAUAUAGAUAAACUACCUUAGGGAUAACAGCAUAAUUUAUUUUUAAGUUUGUGACCUCGAUGUUGGACUAGGAAGCUAAAAGGCUAGCCGUUUUUUAGCUAAGUUCUGUUCGAACUGUGAUUCCU
This 424-nucleotide ribosomal RNA is filed under the name Doriopsilla spaldingi. RNAcentral's name for it is "partial 16S ribosomal RNA". It matches the Rfam family "Archaeal large subunit ribosomal RNA", at positions 1920 to 2665 of the family's 2987-position model. Lineage: Eukaryota; Metazoa; Mollusca; Gastropoda; Nudibranchia; Dendrodorididae. The record is from RNAcentral.